GGGCCGGUAGCACAAUUGGUAGAGCAUCUGUCUAGCAGAGGAAGGUCCUAGGUUCGACUCCUAGCCAAUCCA
Trichophaea hybrida is the source of this 72-nucleotide non-coding RNA. NCBI's taxonomy places the organism in Eukaryota, Fungi, Ascomycota, Pezizomycetes, Pezizales, Pyronemataceae. The record is from the annotation of a GenBank genome assembly.